GUCCACGCCGUAAACGAUGGGUGCUAGGUGUGGGGGUGUCGACUCCCUCCGUGCCGAAGCUAACGCAUUAAGCACCCCGCCUGGGGAGUACGGCCGCAAGGCUAAAACUCAAAGGAAUUGACGGGGACCCGCACAAGCAGCGGAGCAUGUGGUUUAAUUCGACGCAACGCGAAGAACCUUACCUGGGCUUGACAUGCACAGGAAUGUCGUGGAAACACGCCAGCCCUUCGGGGCCUGUGCACAGGUGGUGCAUGGCUGUCGU
This 262-nucleotide ribosomal RNA is filed under the name uncultured bacterium. RNAcentral describes it as "partial 16S ribosomal RNA". It matches the Rfam family "Bacterial small subunit ribosomal RNA", at positions 793 to 1055 of the family's 1533-position model. The record is from RNAcentral.